RNAcentral lists this ribosomal RNA (520 nucleotides) under uncultured bacterium. RNAcentral describes it as "bacterial SSU rRNA". It matches the Rfam family "Bacterial small subunit ribosomal RNA", at positions 25 to 518 of the family's 1533-position model. The record is from RNAcentral.
CAGGACGAACGCUGGCGGCGUGCCUAAUACAUGCAAGUCGAACGGUCUUUCUAUGGAAGCUUGCUUCCACUGAGAAGAUAGUGGCGAACGGGUGAGUAACACGUGGGUAACCUGCCCAUAAGAGGGGGAUAACAUCCGGAAACGGGUGCUAAUACCGCAUAGUUUUCUUGAUUGCAUGAUUGAGAAAGGAAAGACGGCCUUUGUGCUGUCGCUUAUGGAUGGACCCGCGGCGUAUUAGUUAGUUGGUGAGGUAACGGCUCACCAAGACGAUGAUACGUAGCCGACCUGAGAGGGUGAUCGGCCACAUUGGGACUGAGACACGGCCCAAACUCCUACGGGAGGCAGCAGUAGGGAAUCUUCCGCAAUGGACGAAAGUCUGACGGAGCAACGCCGCGUGAGUGAAAGAAGGUUUUCGGAUCGUAAAACUCUGUUGUCAGAGAAGAACAAGUUGGAGAGUAACUGCUCCAGCCUUGACGGUAUCUGACCAGAAAGCCACGGCUAACUACGUGCCAGCCGCCGC